Molecule: ribosomal RNA, 510 nt
Filed under: uncultured bacterium
Lineage: Bacteria
Description: bacterial SSU rRNA
Rfam family: Bacterial small subunit ribosomal RNA
Source: RNAcentral
GACGAACGCUGGCGGCGUGGAUUAGGCAUGCAAGUCGAACGGUAUCAUCCUUUCGGGGGUGAGAGAGUGGCGAACUGGUGAGUAACACGUAGGUUAUCUACCCUCAAGACGGGGACAACCCAGGGAAACUUGGGCUAAUACCGGAUGUGAGCAACUUUUAGUUGUUUGAAAGGUGGCGUAAGCUGUCGCUUGGGGAUGAGCCUGCGUCCUAUUAGUUAGUUGGUGAGGUAACGGCUCACCUAGGCAAUGAUAGGUAGGCGGCCUUAACGGGUGGUCGCCCACACUGGGAUUGAGAUACGGCCCAGACUCCUACGGGAGGCAGCAGUCGAGAAUAGUCUACAAUGGUCGGAAGACUGAUAGUGCGACGCCGCGUGAACGAUGAAUCCCUUCGGGGUGUAAAGUUCUUUUAUAUGUGAGCAGUGCUUCUUAUAUUAACAGUAUGGGGAGAGAGAUAUUAGCAUAUGAAUAAGCAACGGCUAACUCCGUGCCAGCAGCCGCGGUAAACUACGU